This 393-nucleotide ribosomal RNA is filed under the name uncultured bacterium. RNAcentral's name for it is "bacterial SSU rRNA". It matches the Rfam family "Bacterial small subunit ribosomal RNA", at positions 28 to 422 of the family's 1533-position model. The record is from RNAcentral.
GACGAACGCUGGCGGCGUGCUUAACACAUGCAAGUCGAGCGGUAAGGCCCUUUCGGGGGUACACGAGCGGCGAACGGGUGAGUAACACGUGGGUGACCUGCCCUUAGCUCUGGGAUAAGCCUGGAAAACUGGGUCUAAUACCGGAUAUGACUCCAUGACGCAUGUUGUGGGGUGGAAAGCCUUGUGCGGCUAGGGAUGGGCCCGCGGCCUAUCAGCUUGUUGGUGGGGUGAUGGCCUACCAAGGCGACGACGGGUAGCCGGCCUGAGAGGGCGACCGGCCACACUGGGACUGAGACACGGCCCAGACUCCUACGGGAGGCAGCAGUGGGGAAUAUUGCACAAUGGGCGAAAGCCUGAUGCAGCGACGCCGCGUGAGGGAUGACGGCCUGGUGU